AAUCUGGGGCAGCAAUGUGCUCAGGGAGCGUUCCCCAGGAGAAGAGCUAAGACUGAUCGAAAGCAACCUGAGCCGCCCUGCUCACCUUGUCUACGAUCACCUGGCAGCAGAGGGUGGGCCUGUGACCCAGAUCUGGUAGGUGGGGCCUGAGAGGAAGUGGACUGGAGGUUUAGGUGCCUCCUCCCCAGGGAGAUGAAGACAUUCAAGAGACGGAAAGUCGCUCCUGCGCUUCCUCCCUGGAGGCUGUCUGGAGAGGAUAUGAUCGAUCCUCCCAUCUGUGGCAGUCAUAGAAGAACAGGAGAAAGGCAGGUAAAGUAUAGAAAAGCUACCUUGAGUCCCAGCAUCGCUGAGCUGCUGAAUUAGCAAGCCUGGGUCCACCUACUACCAGUUUCUUGUUUGCAAAAUAAUGAAUUGUCCUUAUUGUCUGCACUCAUUUCAGUUGGGCACUCUCAUAUUUUGUAACCAAAGGCAUCUUACCUAUUGCAGCAAAGAAGAAAUAAAGAACUACGAUUUUUCUAUCA
RNAcentral lists this small RNA (521 nucleotides) under Pan troglodytes (chimpanzee). RNAcentral's name for it is "sense intronic". The record is from RNAcentral. Lineage: Eukaryota; Metazoa; Chordata; Mammalia; Primates; Hominidae.